Homo sapiens (human) is the source of this 702-nucleotide long non-coding RNA. Ensembl annotates it as long intergenic non-protein coding RNA 326. Lineage: Eukaryota; Metazoa; Chordata; Mammalia; Primates; Hominidae. The record is from Ensembl.
AGAGACUUCUCCGGCCAUCUGAAAACACUGCCAUUAGAGAAGGUUCUGCCUGGCUGUUUUCUUCUCUUCCCGGGAAAUAUGGCCAGAUUAUUGCUGACCUAUCUGGAGGCAACAGGAACAUGGUAAUCUGUUCUUAUUCUAAUGGAUCUUCCAUAACGUUUCCCACAAAGAAUUACUAACCAUUCAUGACCUUCAUCAAAUAACGUCUUCCACUAUAGGAAAUGGGAAUUUAAAGAUGAUCAGAAGACAGUUGGGAGCAGAGUGAGAAUAAGAACCCUCAACUGCUGUCUCACCUUUCAGAUCACGAAGAAGUUUUUUACAAUGAGCAGAACACUCAACCUGAAAGCAGAAUGGAUUGAGUCACUGCAGCGUGGCAGUGGAAUGGUGUUUGAUGUUGGCAAAGGAAACAUGUACUUCUAGACUGGACAGUUUUCCCUUAGUUUACAGUUUCCAAAUAGAGACAUCACUUUGAAAUAACAUGGAGAACAUACAUGGAUGUACUGAACGAAGAAUAAAGUCUGUGUUGCAGUCCUGUCUCCAUUGACUUUUACAAAUAUGGCUUUGGAUGAAUCACCUAAGUUUUAUUUUUGAGAAUUUACGCUUACCAUGUAUAAAAUGAUAUUGCUAAUAUGUUUGCUGCCUACCCCAUUGGGUUUUGUGAGGAAUAAAUGAUAAUGCUAAGAAAAAGGCAUUGAGAAUUAU